RNAcentral lists this transfer RNA (73 nucleotides) under Nonomuraea soli. RNAcentral's name for it is "Nonomuraea sp. YIM 120770 tRNA". It matches the Rfam family "tRNA". Rfam says of the family: Transfer RNA (tRNA) molecules are approximately 80 nucleotides in length. Their secondary structure includes four short double-helical elements and three loops (D, anti-codon, and T loops). Further hydrogen bonds mediate the characteristic L-shaped molecular structure. tRNAs have two regions of fundamental functional importance: the anti-codon, which is responsible for specific mRNA codon recognition, and the 3' end, to which the tRNAs corresponding amino acid is attached (by aminoacyl-tRNA synthetases). tRNAs cope with the degeneracy of the genetic code in two manners: having more than one tRNA (with a specific anti-codon) for a particular amino acid; and 'wobble' base-pairing, i.e. permitting non-standard base-pairing at the 3rd anti-codon position. RNAcentral also lists the same sequence under 1 other name. The record is from Rfam by way of RNAcentral. Lineage: Bacteria; Bacillati; Actinomycetota; Actinomycetes; Streptosporangiales; Streptosporangiaceae.
GCCCUGGUACUCCAACGGCAGAGAGAGCGCUCUCAAACAGCGUCAAGUGUGGGUUCGAAUCCCACCCAGGGCA